UCUGGCUCUUUCAGAGUCCGAGUUGUAAUUUGAAGAAGGUAUCUUUGGGUCUGGCUCUUGUCUAUGUUUCUUGGAACAGAACGUCACAGAGGGUGAGAAUCCCGUGCGAUGAGAUGAUCCAGGCCUAUGUAAAGUUCCUUCGAAGAGUCGAGUUGUUUGGGAAUGCAGCUCUAAGUGGGUGGUAAAUUCCAUCUAAAGCUAAAUAUUGGCGAGAGACCGAUAGCGAACAAGUACAGUGAUGGAAAGAUGAAAAGAACUUUGAAAAGAGAGUGAAAAAGUACGUGAAAUUGUUGAAAGGGAAGGGCUUGAGAUCAGACUUGGUAUUUUGUAUGUUACUUCUUCGGGGGUGGCCUCUACAGUUUAUCGGGCCAGCAUCAGUUUGGGCGGUAGGAGAAUUGCGUUGGAAUGUGGCACGGCUUCGGUUGUGUGUUAUAGCCUUCGUYGAUACUGCCAGCCUAGACUGAGGACUGCGGUUUAUACCUAGGAUGUUGGCAUAAUG
This 499-nucleotide ribosomal RNA is filed under the name Candida tropicalis. RNAcentral describes it as "eukaryotic LSU rRNA". It matches the Rfam family "Eukaryotic large subunit ribosomal RNA", at positions 121 to 636 of the family's 3401-position model. The record is from RNAcentral. Lineage: Eukaryota; Fungi; Ascomycota; Pichiomycetes; Serinales; Debaryomycetaceae.